This 469-nucleotide ribosomal RNA is filed under the name uncultured bacterium. Its description in RNAcentral is "bacterial SSU rRNA". It matches the Rfam family "Bacterial small subunit ribosomal RNA", at positions 43 to 543 of the family's 1533-position model. The record is from RNAcentral.
CGCGCUUACACAUGCAAGUCGCACGAGAAAGCGGGAGCAAUCUCGCAAGUAAAGUGGCGUACGGGUGAGUAACACGUGGAUGAUCUGCCCUUUAGUGGGGAAUAACCCUGGGAAACCGGGGCUAAUACCGCAUAAGCCUGAGAAGGGAAAGCAGCAAUGCGCUGAAGGAGGAGUCCGCGGCCGAUUAGCUGGUUGGGAGGGUAAAAGCCUACCAAGGCAAAGAUCGGUAGCCGGCCUGAGAGGGCACACGGCCACACUGGCACUGAAACACGGGCCAGACUCCUACGGGAGGCAGCAGUGGGGAAUCUUGCACAAUGGGGGAAACCCUGAUGCAGCGACGCCGCGUGAGCGAUGAAGCCCUUCGGGGUGUAAAGCUCUUUCGGCAGGGACGAUAAUGACGGUACCUGCAGAAGCAGCUGCGGCUAACUACGUGCCAGCAGCCGCGGUAAUACGUAUGCAGCGAGCGUUG